This 30-nucleotide non-coding RNA is filed under the name Homo sapiens (human). The record is from RNAcentral. Lineage: Eukaryota; Metazoa; Chordata; Mammalia; Primates; Hominidae.
GAGAACAUAUUUUCACUGAGCUCAUGCAGA